AACGAACGCUGGCGGCGUGCCUAACACAUGCAAGUCGCGCGGGAAAGUUCCCUUCGGGGAGCGAGUAUAGCGGCGCACGGGUGAGUAAUACGUAGGUAACCUGCCCUUGAGACUGGGACAACCUGUCGAAAGACGGGCUAAUACCGGAUAAGACCACGAGAGCUGCGGCUCUUGGGGUAAAAGGUGGCCUCUGCUUGCAAGCUAUCACUUGAGGAUGGGCCUGCGCGCCAUUAGCUAGUUGGUGAGGUAACGGCUCACCAAGGCAGAGAUGGCUAGCUGGUCUGAGAGGAUGACCAGCCACACUGGGACUGAGACACGGCCCAGACUCCUACGGGAGGCAGCAGUGGGGAAUAUUGCGCAAUGGGCGAAAGCCUGACGCAGCGACGCCGCGUGGGUGAUGAAGGCCUUC
Molecule: ribosomal RNA, 409 nt
Filed under: uncultured bacterium
Lineage: Bacteria
Description: bacterial SSU rRNA
Rfam family: Bacterial small subunit ribosomal RNA
Source: RNAcentral